This 405-nucleotide ribosomal RNA is filed under the name uncultured bacterium. RNAcentral's name for it is "partial 16S ribosomal RNA". It matches the Rfam family "Bacterial small subunit ribosomal RNA", at positions 30 to 526 of the family's 1533-position model. The record is from RNAcentral.
AUUGAACGCUGGCGGCAGGCCUAACACAUGCAAGUCGAGCGAGUGGCGGACGGGUGAGUAAUGCUUGGGAAUCUAGCUUAUGGAGGGGGAUAACUACGGGAAACUGUAGCUAAUACCGCGUACCAUAGGAUGAGCCCAAGUGGGAUUAGGUAGUUGGUGGGGGAAAGGCUAACCAAGCCGACGAUCCUUAGCUGGUCUGAGAGGAUGACCAGCCACACUGGGACGGAGACACGGCCCAGACUCCUACGGGAGGCAGCAGUGGGGAAUAUUGCGCAAUGGGGGCAACCUGACGCAGCCAUGCCGCGUGAAUGAAGAAGGCCUUCGGGUUGUAAAGUUCUUUCAGUAGCGAGGCGUUAACUACAGAAGAAGCACCGGCUAACUCCGUGCCAGCAGCCGCGGUAAUUC